GCCGUUGCUAUGGUAAUCAAGUUUAGUACGAGAGGAACCGCAGGUUCAGAUAAUUAUUAUAUGUGCCUGGUCGAAAAACCAAUGGUGCGAAGUUAUCAUCUGAUGUCUGAAUCCCAUCCAACUUUGCAACGGUACAUUUUGUAUCCGACACGAAGCUGAGCAAGCUUACGUAUUGAUUUGGAAUCUGGACUGCGCUAUGUUUUCGGCUAGACCAAUUAGGUCAGAUGUUAUGCGAGAGCGAUUACCAUAAACCGUGCUCCGGAUAUUGAGAUACGGUAGUCGACACGAUAUCCAAUUGUGCUAUGAGCGUAAGGAUAGUAAAUCGUUUGUAGACGACUUAAUGUUUUGUCGUGAACAUUUAAGUGCUCGAGCAACUAUCACACUGUGAGGCAAUGAAUCCUAUAAUUGCUUGGCGUAGCAAUUU
Molecule: non-coding RNA, 424 nt
Filed under: Schistosoma curassoni
Lineage: Eukaryota; Metazoa; Platyhelminthes; Trematoda; Strigeidida; Schistosomatidae
Description: Eukaryotic large subunit ribosomal RNA
Rfam family: Eukaryotic large subunit ribosomal RNA
Source: Rfam by way of RNAcentral